Molecule: transfer RNA, 72 nt
Filed under: Bos taurus (domestic cattle)
Lineage: Eukaryota; Metazoa; Chordata; Mammalia; Artiodactyla; Bovidae
Also listed under: 1 other name
Rfam family: tRNA
About the family: Transfer RNA (tRNA) molecules are approximately 80 nucleotides in length. Their secondary structure includes four short double-helical elements and three loops (D, anti-codon, and T loops).
Source: Rfam by way of RNAcentral
UCCCUGGUAGCUUAGCUGGUAAAGUAUCCACCUGCAAUGUGGAAGACCUCAGAUUGAUUCCUGGGUCGGGAA